UGCAGGUCUUGGGAUGGCCAUGUUCGGUCUCGAUAAGAUCAUUAAUAUGCUCGUCAUGUUCAGUCUCGGUAAGAUCAUUGAUAUGCUCAUUCGACGUGAGGGGUGUCAUCAUGAAAUAUGACAGUCCUGAACAAAUUCUUGAAGAAUUCUUUCAUUUAAGACUUGAGUUCUAUGUAAAGAGAAAGAAAGUAAUGUUGGAUAAUCUUGAAAUAAAGCUGUUGAGAUUGUUUAACAAAGUCAAAUUCAUCAUUGGAGUGGUAGAAGGAGAGAUUAUUGUGAGUAACAGGAAGAGAGCAGAUCUGGUCCUUGAGUUGCAG
Molecule: long non-coding RNA, 317 nt
Organism: Magnolia sinica
Lineage: Eukaryota; Viridiplantae; Streptophyta; Magnoliopsida; Magnoliales; Magnoliaceae
Exons: 3
Source: RefSeq, a predicted model, not a curated record